This 468-nucleotide ribosomal RNA is filed under the name uncultured bacterium. Its description in RNAcentral is "partial 16S ribosomal RNA". It matches the Rfam family "Bacterial small subunit ribosomal RNA", at positions 28 to 507 of the family's 1533-position model. The record is from RNAcentral.
GACGAACGCUGGCGGCGUGCUUAACACAUGCAAGUCGAACGGAAAGGCCCUGCUCUUGCGGGGUGCUCGUGUGGCGAACGGGUGAGUAACACGUGAGUAUCAUGUCCUUGUCUUUGGGAUAACUCUAGGAAACUGGGGCUAAUAUAGGAUAGGAGCUCUUGAUGCAUGGUGGUGGUUGGAAAGUUUCGGCGGUUGGGGAUGGAAUAGCGGCUUAUCAGCUUGAUGGUGGGGUAGUGGCUUACCACGGCUUUGACGGGUAGCCGGCCUGAGAGGUGGACCGGCCUCAAUGCUACUGAGGGACGGCCCAGACGGCUACCGGAGGCAACAGUGGAGAACAUUGCGCAAUGGGCGCAAGUCAGAGACAACAACGCCGCGUGCGUAAUGACGGCCUACGAGUUAUGAACCACUGUCUCAUGAGACAAGGCGUUAGUGACGGUAAUUAGUAAAGAAGCACCGGCUAACUACGUG